RNAcentral lists this long non-coding RNA (491 nucleotides) under Lathyrus oleraceus (garden pea). Its description in RNAcentral is "Pisum sativum (pea) long non-coding RNA (PSAT_LNC017108)". Lineage: Eukaryota; Viridiplantae; Streptophyta; Magnoliopsida; Fabales; Fabaceae. The record is from RNAcentral.
CCAGACCGUGCUUAGGAAUUAACGGUAGGAGUAAAUGCUUGGUCAAGACCCAUAAAUAUUUGCGGAGAAUCAGUCAGAGAAUCACCAACAAUAUCUCAGACUAUCUUUGAAUACCUUUUAUAGCUCUUGACUGUUUCUUUUCAGAAACAACAGUUCCAAUGCAUGUAGACUAUUCUACAUAUGCAGUCAGACACGUUGCACGCGAUGUCUUAACAUUCAACGUGGCCUUUGCCUGCAUUCUUCCUAUCAUCAUUUCCUAAGACCACUUUCGUACCUCCAGUGGUAGCUUGACAUCUGGCACCACUACAGCCAAAAUCACAAACACCAGUAGGUGGUUACUCCCCUGUACCACACAACUGUAACACUCGGGCUUAUUCUACUACACCACACCCAUAUUUCCUAAUGACUAUAAGUUUCAGAAGGAACUAACAAUAUUGUCCAAGGCAAUGUCAUGACAUCCGGUCAAACAUUCUUAUGCUCACUCAUCCUUG